UACGUAGGGACCGAGCGUUGUCCGGAUUUAUUGGGCGUAAAGAGCGUGUAGGCGGCCAGGUAGGUCUGCUGUGAAAACUCGAGGCUCAACCUCGAGACGUCGGCGGAAACCAUCUGGCUAGAGUCCGGAAGAGGAGAGUGGAAUUCCUGGUGUAGCGGUGAAAUGCGCAGAUAUCAGGAAGAACACCCGUGGCUAAGGCGGCUCUCUAGUACGGUACUGACGCUGAGACGCGAAAAGCGUGGGGGAGCGAACAGG
RNAcentral lists this ribosomal RNA (255 nucleotides) under uncultured bacterium. RNAcentral describes it as "partial 16S ribosomal RNA". It matches the Rfam family "Bacterial small subunit ribosomal RNA", at positions 524 to 776 of the family's 1533-position model. The record is from RNAcentral.